AGCGAACGCUGGCGGCAGGCCUAACACAUGCAAGUCGAACGGAUCCUUCGGGAUUAGUGGCGGACGGGUGAGUAACACGUGGGAACGUGCCCUUUGGUUCGGAACAACUCAGGGAAACUUGAGCUAAUACCGGAUGUGCCCUUCGGGGGAAAGAUUUAUCGCCAUUGGAGCGGCCCGCGUCUGAUUAGCUAGUUGGUGAGGUAAAGGCUCACCAAGGCAACGAUCAGUAGCUGGUCCGAGAGGAUGAUCAGCCACAUUGGGACUGAGACACGGCCCAAACUCCUACGGGAGGCAGCAGUGGGGAAUCUUGCGCAAUGGGCGAAAGCCUGACGCAGCCAUGCCGCGUGAAUGAUGAAGGUCUUAGGAUUGUAAAAUUCUUUCACCGGGGACGAUAACGACGGUACCCGGAGAAGAAGCCCCGGCUAACUUCGUGCCAGCCGCCGCGGUAA
This 449-nucleotide ribosomal RNA is filed under the name uncultured bacterium. RNAcentral's name for it is "partial 16S ribosomal RNA". It matches the Rfam family "Bacterial small subunit ribosomal RNA", at positions 29 to 523 of the family's 1533-position model. The record is from RNAcentral.